UUUAUGGUGGCAGAAUGAUAAUGUACUAGAUUUAGGUUCUAGAAAUAUAGGGUUGAUCCUAUCCAUAAUA
This 70-nucleotide transfer RNA is filed under the name Pilumnopeus makianus. RNAcentral describes it as "tRNA-Leu". It matches the Rfam family "tRNA". From Rfam's summary of the family: Transfer RNA (tRNA) molecules are approximately 80 nucleotides in length. The record is from RNAcentral. Lineage: Eukaryota; Metazoa; Arthropoda; Malacostraca; Decapoda; Pilumnidae.